AACGAACGCUGGCGGCAGGCUUAACACAUGCAAGUCGAACGCACCUUUCGGGGUGAGUGGCAGACGGGUGAGUAACGCGUGGGAAUCUACCCUUCUCUACGGGAUAGCUCCGGGAAACUGGAAUUAAUACCGUAUACGUCCUGAGGGAGAAAGAUUUAUCGGGGAAGGAUGAGCCCGCGUUGGAUUAGCUAGUUGGUGGGGUAAAGGCCUACCAAGGCGACGAUCCAUAGCUGGUCUAAGAGGAUGAUCAGCCACAUUGGGACUGAGACACGGCCCAAACUCCUACGGGAGGCAGCAGUGGGGAAUAUUGGACAAUGGGCGCAAGCCUGAUCCAGCCAUGCCGCGUGAGUGAUGAAGGCCCUAGGGUUGUAAAGAUAUUUCAGUGGGGACGAUAAUGACGGUACCCACAGAAGAAGCCCCGGCUAACUUCGUG
Molecule: ribosomal RNA, 433 nt
Filed under: uncultured bacterium
Lineage: Bacteria
Description: partial 16S ribosomal RNA
Rfam family: Bacterial small subunit ribosomal RNA
Source: RNAcentral